RNAcentral lists this transfer RNA (103 nucleotides) under Wolfiporia cocos MD-104 SS10. Its description in RNAcentral is "Wolfiporia cocos (strain MD-104) (brown rot fungus) tRNA". It matches the Rfam family "tRNA". Rfam says of the family: Transfer RNA (tRNA) molecules are approximately 80 nucleotides in length. Their secondary structure includes four short double-helical elements and three loops (D, anti-codon, and T loops). Further hydrogen bonds mediate the characteristic L-shaped molecular structure. tRNAs have two regions of fundamental functional importance: the anti-codon, which is responsible for specific mRNA codon recognition, and the 3' end, to which the tRNAs corresponding amino acid is attached (by aminoacyl-tRNA synthetases). tRNAs cope with the degeneracy of the genetic code in two manners: having more than one tRNA (with a specific anti-codon) for a particular amino acid; and 'wobble' base-pairing, i.e. permitting non-standard base-pairing at the 3rd anti-codon position. The record is from Rfam by way of RNAcentral. Lineage: Eukaryota; Fungi; Basidiomycota; Agaricomycetes; Polyporales; Phaeolaceae.
GGCAGUGUAGCCAAGUGGUUACGGCGUCACGUUUAGGUUCUCACUCGUUGAGUGUCCGCACCGUGAUGGGUUUCCCGCGCGAGUUCGAAUCUCGUCACUGUCA